CAUGGCUCAGAUUGAACGCUGGCGGCAGGCCUAACACAUGCAAGUCGAACGGUAACAGGAAGCAGCUUGCUGUUUCGCUGACGAGUGGCGGACGGGUGAGUAAUGUCUGGGAAACUGCCUGAUGGAGGGGGAUAACUACUGGAAACGGUAGCUAAUACCGCAUAACGUCGCAAGACCAAAGAGGGGGACCUUCGGGCCUCUUGCCAUCGGAUGUGCCCAGAUGGGAUUAGCUAGUAGGUGGGGUAACGGCUCACCUAGGCGACGAUCCCUAGCUGGUCUGAGAGGAUGACCAGCCACACUGGAACUGAGACACGGUCCAGACUCCUACGGGAGGCAGCAGUGGGGAAUAUUGCACAAUGGGCGCAAGCCUGAUGCAGCCAUGCCGCGUGUAUGAAGAAGGCCUUCGGGUUGUAAAGUACUUUCAGCGGGGAGGAA
RNAcentral lists this ribosomal RNA (435 nucleotides) under Shigella flexneri. Its description in RNAcentral is "bacterial SSU rRNA". It matches the Rfam family "Bacterial small subunit ribosomal RNA", at positions 18 to 449 of the family's 1533-position model. Lineage: Bacteria; Pseudomonadati; Pseudomonadota; Gammaproteobacteria; Enterobacterales; Enterobacteriaceae. The record is from RNAcentral.